RNAcentral lists this ribosomal RNA (465 nucleotides) under uncultured bacterium. RNAcentral describes it as "partial 16S ribosomal RNA". It matches the Rfam family "Bacterial small subunit ribosomal RNA", at positions 338 to 795 of the family's 1533-position model. The record is from RNAcentral.
CCUACGGGAGGCAGCAGGGGGGAAUAUUGCGCAAUGGGCGAAAGCCUGACGCAGCGACGCCGCGUGAGGGAUGAAGGUCUUCGGAUCGUAAACCUCUGUCAGCAGGGAAGAAAGGUCACUGUGCUAAUCAGCCGUGAAUUGACGGUACCUGCAAAGGAAGCACCGGUUAACUCCGUGCCAGCAGCCGCGGUAAUACGGAGGGUGCGAGCCUUAAUCGGAAUUACUGGGCGUAAAGCGCUCGUAGGCGGUAUGUCAAGUCAAGGGUGAAAUCCCCGCGCUCAACGUGGGAACUGCCUUUGAAACUGGCAAACUGGAGUGUGUGAGAGGAUAGUGGAAUUCCAGGUGUAGGAGUGAAAUCCGUAGAUAUCUGGAGGAACAUCAGUGGCGAAGGCGACUAUCUGGCACAUAACUGACGCUGAGGAGCGAAAGCGUGGGUAGCAAACAGGAUUAGAUACCCCAGUAGUC